RNAcentral lists this ribosomal RNA (530 nucleotides) under uncultured fungus. RNAcentral describes it as "SSU rRNA". It matches the Rfam family "Eukaryotic small subunit ribosomal RNA", at positions 569 to 1097 of the family's 1831-position model. Lineage: Eukaryota; Fungi. The record is from RNAcentral.
AGCAGCCGCGGUAAUUCCAGCUCCAAUAGCGUAUAUUAAAGUUGUUGCAGUUAAAAAGCUCGUAGUUGAAUUUCGGGGUUAGUACGCUGGUCGUGCCUUCGGUAUGUACUGGUGUUACUGAUUCCUACCUUCUGACGAACCGUCAUGUCAUUAAUUUGGUGUGGCGGGGAAUCAGGACUGUUACUUUGAAAAAAUUAGAGUGUUUAAAGCAGGCUCGCGCUUGAAUACAUUAGCAUGGAAUAAUGAAAUAGGACGUUCGAUUCUAUUUUGUUGGUUUCUAGGAUUGACGUAAUGAUUAAUAGGGAUAGUUGGGGGCAUUAGUAUUCAAUUGUCAGAGGUGAAAUUCUUGGAUUUAUUGAAGACUAACUACUGCGAAAGCAUUUGCCAAGGAUGUUUUCAUUAAUCAAGAACGAAAGUUAGGGGAUCGAAGACGAUCAGAUACCGUCGUAGUCUUAACCAUAAACUAUGCCGACUAGGGAUCGGAUGAUGUUAAUUUUUUAAUGUACUCAUUCGGCGCCUUACGGGUAAAA